Molecule: ribosomal RNA, 465 nt
Filed under: uncultured bacterium
Lineage: Bacteria
Description: partial 16S ribosomal RNA
Rfam family: Bacterial small subunit ribosomal RNA
Source: RNAcentral
GAACGCUGGCGGCGUGCUUAACACCUGCAAGUCGAACGGAAAGGCCCUGCUUUUGUGGGGUGCUCGAGUGGCGAACGGGUGAGUAACACGUGAGUAACCUGCCCUUGACUUUGGGAUAACUUCAGGAAACUGGGGCUAAUACCGGAUAGGAGCUCCUGCUGCAUGGUGGGGGUUGGAAAGUUUCGGCGGUUGGGGAUGGACUCGCGGCUUAUCAGCUUGUUGGUGGGGUAGUGGCUUACCAAGGCUUUGACGGGUAGCCGGCCUGAGAGGGUGACCGGCCACAUUGGGACUGAGAUACGGCCCAGACUCCUACGGGAGGCAGCAGUGAGGAAUAUUGCACAAUGGGCGGAAGCCUGAUGCAGCAACGCCGCGUGCGGGAUGACGGCCUUCGGGUUGUAAACCGCUUUCGCCUGUGACGAAGCGUGAGUGACGGUAAUGGGUAAAGAAGCACCGGCUAACUACGUG